UAGAUGAUCGUAAUUAUAGCACCACUCACGUAAACAAUACAAAUCUUGUUUGCAGUAUCAUUUGCACUAUCAUUUUUUUUAAAGCAAUAAAGCAUAAUAUGCCGCAAAUGCUUCCUUUGAUUAUCCGUAUUGAACGGUGUAGA
This is a long non-coding RNA of Apis dorsata (giant honeybee), 143 nucleotides long. RefSeq lists it as uncharacterized. The record is from RefSeq and is a predicted model, not a curated record. The transcript has 3 exons. Lineage: Eukaryota; Metazoa; Arthropoda; Insecta; Hymenoptera; Apidae.